This 615-nucleotide long non-coding RNA is filed under the name Hordeum vulgare. RNAcentral describes it as "long non-coding RNA (HVUL_LNC010944)". Lineage: Eukaryota; Viridiplantae; Streptophyta; Magnoliopsida; Poales; Poaceae. The record is from RNAcentral.
CAUAGUUGAGGCAAAAUCAUAGAAUAAAAAGAACAAGGUAAAAAGAACCCCGUGGAUACUAACAUUGUCAUCAUGGAAAAUGAGGUAACAUCUUUUGAAAGGUCGUGUAAAAGGAGCCGACACAGAUAGACCGGUUGUGCCUUGCUCUUUCGGUAGCACCUCUUAUUAUAGACUUUGUGAUAUGGGUUCCUCUACUAAAGUGAUACCUUAUACUCUUUAUGCUAAGCUUCGUGAUGAAAUAUAUUCUUGUGAUCUACAAACCACAUACAUGGAAAUAUAAUUAGUAGAUGGUACUCCUAAAAAACCUUAUGGUAUAGUUUGUGAUGUUUAGGUUAUCAUAGGAACAUCUACUUACCAUGCGGACUUUGUUGUCAUUGAAAUAACUGAAGAUGAUAUUUGCCCUAUAUUUUUGGAAGACCUUUUAUUAAUAUUGUCACAAUAAGACCCCAUCGACAAAUUCCACUUUUCUAGACUAACUUUUGUGUUGGAUUCCUUUUUAUGGUAAAAACACAUUGACAACCCGAAACUAAAUGAAUACAAUGCGCAAAUGUGGUACACCACAUGACUAAAGUGUAAAUCAUCUAUUUUGUGUUGCAUACAUCAUGAAAAAACAAU